RNAcentral lists this ribosomal RNA (361 nucleotides) under uncultured bacterium. RNAcentral describes it as "partial 16S ribosomal RNA". It matches the Rfam family "Bacterial small subunit ribosomal RNA", at positions 338 to 696 of the family's 1533-position model. The record is from RNAcentral.
CCUACGGGUGGCAGCAGUGAGGAAUAUUGGUCAAUGGACGGAAGUCUGAACCAGCCAUGCCGCGUGCAGGAAGAAGGCUCUCUGAGUUGUAAACUGCUUUUGUACAAGGGUAAACCUGAAUACGUCUAUUCAGCUGAACGUCCUGUACCAACAAGCCUCGGCUAACUCCGUGCCAGAAGCCGCGGUAAUACGGAGGAUCCAAGCGUUAUACGGAUCUAUUGGGCUUAAAGGGUGCGUAGGCGGAAUGAGAAGUUAGAGGUGAAAUGGCCGGGCUUAACUCGGGAACUGCCUCUAAUACUGUUGAUCUAGAGAGUAGAUGCGGUAGGCGGAAUGUAUGGGGUAGCGGUGAAAUGCGUAGAGA